This 74-nucleotide transfer RNA is filed under the name Gemmatimonadota bacterium. Its description in RNAcentral is "tRNA-Arg". It matches the Rfam family "tRNA". From Rfam's summary of the family: Transfer RNA (tRNA) molecules are approximately 80 nucleotides in length. The record is from RNAcentral. Lineage: Bacteria; Pseudomonadati; Gemmatimonadota.
GCCCCCGUAGCUCAGUUGGAUAGAGCAAGCGUUUCCUAAACGCUAGGUCGCGUGUUCGAAUCACGCCGGGGGCA